RNAcentral lists this unclassified non-coding RNA (2995 nucleotides) under Amphibalanus amphitrite. Its description in RNAcentral is "uncharacterized LOC122380093, transcript variant X1". The record is from RNAcentral. Lineage: Eukaryota; Metazoa; Arthropoda; Thecostraca; Balanomorpha; Balanidae.
GCGCGCGCUGACGGCCGCCGCCGCCGCAGCCGCUGUGGACACUGGACGCCCGCACCGGCUGAACCCCGCCGAGCACAGCGACUCCGACGUUCCGCUCCUCACACCGCAGCUAUGGGCUGGCUCGCUGGAGCCGCUGUCACCGGCGUCAUUGUCCUGGCUCUGGCGUCGGCCAACGAGGUCACCUUCUCCACCGCAGCCUUCGAACAGCGCAUCAUCCAGGAGGUCGGAGCGCGGAUGGAGCAGUUCGGCCAGCAGUACCUCAGCCGGAUAGAGCAGCUGCAGGUGGGCACCGCGCGUACGCUCACCCGUGUCGAGGAUAAGCUGGGCCAGCUGCAGGAGCGCGCGCGCGUCUGGGACACCUUCCAGUCGGUGAUCACCUCGUGGACGGACCUGCUGGUCGGCACCGACCGCAAGAUGGACCUCCUCAAAGAGGGCAUUGACCGGACGGUCGAGCUGUAUGAGGACAUCACGCCCUACUCGGCCGUCUCGUAUGCCGUCGAUCAGCUGAACGCCCAGCUGGCCCGCCUGGUGGCCAAAAUACCCGAGUCUUCCGGUGCCAUGGUCAACGACUUCGCCAUCAAAGGCGUCAUGGCCACGCUCCGAGAGCUCAAGACCAAGAUCGAAGGCAUGAACCGACGGAGAUUUGUCAUCAAAAAGGUGGUCAACUCUGUGGAGUCGGAGCCGGGCGUGGUGUCGGCGGGCCCCGGCGCCGACAUCCAGUACCGGGACAUCCAGGACGAGCUGGAGGAGGCCAUCAGCAGCAACAACAUGCUCAACGCCAUCGAGGUGAAGCUGGACAGGAUCGCCGCCGUAGUGACGGAGCGCCGGCCGCCCGAGGUGCACGCCGCCCGCCGCCGAAACUCCACCGAGAGCGUGUUGCGCCAGGCGCGGCCGCGGGUGCACGGCGAGCCGCGCGGCCGCCGCCGCCCGCCGCCGGGACGUCCGCCGCCCACCAGCGCCGCCGCCGCCGCGGCCGGCGUGGACAGCUCCGACGCACCGAGCUGCGACAAACUGCUCAAACAGUGGACUCAGAUGGAGCUCAACUUUGACCAGUUCGAGUCGGUGCGCGAGGCCGUGGGUCGGAUGGAGGACGUGCUCGACUACCGCACCUCCACCAUGGAAGUGAAGCUGGACCGGCUCGAGGACGUCCUGUUCCGACAGGGCUCCAAGCAGGACAAGAGCGACCUCUCGCUGCAGCGCCACCAGGAGGACGUCGUGGCGCGUCUCAAGACCAUCCGGCAGGCCGGCUCCGAGACGGUCGAGGCGUUCCGCAACGUCUCCGACACGACGGCGGCGCUGGCGGCGGGCCUGGGGCAGCACCGGGAGCGCACCGAGCAGCGGCAGGCCAACAUCAGCCGGCUGCUGGCUGAGCUGCACGACCACGGCCGGCAGGCGGCGACCAACUCGUCCCAGGCGCUGCAGGCACUCACCGAGGCGGUCAACAGCACGGCCGUCACCACCAUGGACCGGCUGUUCGCCGCGCUCGACCUGCUGGCCAAGCCGGCGGCCGGCGCGGAGGCGGCGACCGGCACGGCGGCGGCCGGCGGUCACCAGGCGGCCGGCGCGGGCGCGGCGCCCACCCAGCAGCCGCCGCCGCCCGGGCCCGGCCUGCCCGGCCUGCGCGGCUGCGAGGACCUGGCAGAGCUCGGCAUGGAGAGCGACGUGCGCUACCGGUUCGGCGACGCGUUCGGCCCGCCGGUCGGCCUCGACUUCAUGGAGCGCUACUGCGACAUGGACACGGACGACGGAGGGUGGACGGUAAUUCAGCGACGAAAUGAUUUUGGAACGCCAAAGCUAAACUUCAGUCAAACAUGGAAUGCCUACAAACACGGCUUCGGAGACCUGGACAAGGAGUUUUGGUUCGGAAACGAAAACAUCCACAAGCUAACGCACGACCAGGAUGUGACUCUUCGAGUAGAUCUCGAAGACUUUGACGGAAACACCGCCUACGCCAUUUACACCAAGUUUAAGCGAGGACGACGGCUAUUACCUGGAGGUGGCUGGUUACCAUGGGAACGCGUCUGACUCACUGACGUCACACAACCUGAGCAAGUUCUCCACGUGGGACGUGACCAACGACAAGGCGCCGCCCUGCUGUCCCUGCGCCAACGCUUACGGAGGCGGCUGGUGGUUCAACAGCUGUUUCGAGUCCAACUUGAACGGCGAGUACCACACGCGGCCGCGUGACAACGACCACUACCACGGCAUCAUCUGGGAGCUGUGGAAGGGCGACUACUCGCUGAAGUCGUCCGAGAUGAAGGUGCGCGCCAUGUCGUACGUCAGGGAGCCGGCGCUGGCGGACGGGUCGGGCGGCACCGCGCCGCCGUCGCCGCCGCCGGCCGACCCGGCCGGGCCGUCCGGGCAGCUGGGUGUCGGCACGACGAGCGGUCCAGCGCCGACCGCCGCCGAGCCGCCCGUCACCGAGGCCGCUCCGCCGGACGUCAGCACGCCGGUAGAUCUGGGCGUGGAGCCGCUGAACGCGUGAGACGGCCCGCGUACCACAGCCGGCGACCGGGCGGCCGCACCGCGGGCGCCAGAAUCAGCAUACCAUAACACAGACAGGAGCACAGCUCGCUAAAAUGGAACGGAACAGCCCGACAGACGACAACUUUAAUGUAAAUAAGCGUCUUACACCUGUAUCAACACCAUAUACUGUUAUAUCGCGUUUUGCUGACCCUCUUAGGCGUCAUAUUCGUGCGCAUGCAUGUUUUCGCUGUGCGACCUAUUGACAGCCCAUACCAUUUCCGUUAUUACCAUAUCACUGUUUCUAUUAGCCAUGAUAUGCCCAACUUCAACAGGCAGAUCGAGGCAAGUCGAUCGGGUCAAUAAGACCAAGAGAUUUGUCAACUCACUCAUCAGUGUAGCUUUUCAUUGACAUGUUUUGCAUGUUAUUGGUGUUAAACUUGUGCUUAGGUAGCGCACUGUUUAUGAAGAACUUCAUGCCGGUUACGCACAUGUGUCUGAAUCUGAAUAGUGUAUAAAGUAUAGAACAAUC